RNAcentral lists this transfer RNA (65 nucleotides) under Ramisyllis kingghidorahi. Its description in RNAcentral is "Ramisyllis sp. k GPS-2021 tRNA-Ser". The record is from RNAcentral. Lineage: Eukaryota; Metazoa; Annelida; Polychaeta; Phyllodocida; Syllidae.
AAAUUCCUGAAGGCCAGCAUUGAUCUUGAAAAUCAAUAAUAAACGUUAAACUCGUUUAGGAGUUA